RNAcentral lists this long non-coding RNA (1104 nucleotides) under Papio anubis (olive baboon). RNAcentral's name for it is "lncRNA (ENSPANG00000046009.1)". The record is from RNAcentral. Lineage: Eukaryota; Metazoa; Chordata; Mammalia; Primates; Cercopithecidae.
AAUAACAGAGAAACAGUCCCUCAAUCACCAAUCGAUCGAAAUUACUACUGUGUGCAAACCUCAGAUAGCCAUACACAUAUUCAAUUUAUCUGUCAGAAAUUCUUUUUUAAGAAUUAAACAAUCUAGUGUGUGAGUAGCAGGCAGCAAUACAGUUCUGCCUCUGUAGGAGUCAGGCAUGCAGUUACAGACCAACAGCUUCGUGGAAGUGAGUGGAGUCAUACUUGGGUUUGAAAUGUUGCAUUUUUUUUUAAGUGUACAGUUAAUUUCUUUUCUUUUCUUUUCUUUUCUUUUGUAAGAUGGAGCCUCGCUCUGUUGCUCAGGCUUGAGUGCAGUGGCACGGUCUUGGCUCACUGCAACCUCUCUCUCCUGGGUUCAAGUGAUUCUUUUGCCUCAGCCUCCAGAGUAGCUGGGAUUAUAGGCACGUGCCACCACGCCUGGCUAAUUUUUGUAUUUUUAGUAGAGAUGGGGUUUCACCGCAUUGGCUAGGCUGGUCUUGAACUCUUGACCUUGUGAUCCGCCCGCCUCAGCCUCCCAAAGUGCUGGGAUUACAGGUGAGAGCCACCGCACCCAGCCAAAUGUAUGAUUAAUUUCUAAACUGUGAUUGAAUUUGUAACAGAAAGCCCAGCCCUGCAACUGGACUCUGAUUUAGACAAUCAUAAAGGACUCGUAUUUCCUUUGGAAUCUUAUGGCAUGUGGCAUGUACAAAAAUGUCCCAACAGGAAGAGGAGGGAAGAGGAGGAAGUGUAUGGAUAGUUAGAUAAAGUAUGGAAAUUGUCAUAAACUCGCCUCCCAUCCCUUCCCACUCCACACACACACAGAGUGACCAACUUCUUUUUCCCAUAUGAUGAUAGCACUCGUAACUGCUGGGGCUUUGCUCUGCGCUGAAGCACUCCGGAUGUUCUGCAGGCUAUACAAAAAUGGGAAUUGAUUUCUACUUGGAUAAAGGACACCACCUCUCUUCUUCAGGAAAACUGCUUCUCGCACCCUCUAACCAUCCGGUGCAAAUGAUGGCUGCCAAUCCUCCACUCCCAUCCAGGGCCUCUGAUCCGGGCUAAGCCAGCUGGUCUUCUCCUGGGACUCUUCAGCUGGCAUCAAGCUUGGGGU